AGGCUUUUAAUUUAGUAAUUUUAAUUUAUUUUAGAAUGUUAAGAUUUUAUAUAUACAUAUAUUUUUGGUUUGCUGAUUCUUGUUUUGGUUUAUGUGCAGAUGAACUAUCAUAAUGAUUCCUUCCUUGCAGAUCGACUAUGAUUUGGUCACUCUUCAUUUUCUUCAGAUUUUUAUUGUGAACUAAAUAUUUGUCUCAUCUAUAAAUCUUAUGGUAUAUUAAUUAUCUUCACAUUUCAUAUUUAUUUUCUCGGUUAGAUCUAAUCGUGAUCAAUUUAAUGUCACAAAUUUAUUUCACUGGAAUAGCUACGAAAAAUAGUCGAUCAAAAAAUCAAAAACUAUUUGACAUGAAUUUUUUCAAACACUAGAUUGUAUUGGUAAGUCUUCCUAACUUCUAUUUUAAGUUUUAAUAGUAGUAUUGAUGUAAACACCAAAUAAACCAUAACUGGUGUUGCUAUUUUCGUCUUUUAUUUUGUAUUUCUCAUUUCUUUCAAUCAUGUUAUUUAACAUGUAAUCUUUUGUAAUGUAAAAUAUGAUAAAUAUUUGUAAGUUUAAACGUAGAGAAUAUAUGAUAAGUAUUCACGUCGACAUUGUUAUGAAUAGAAUGAUAUAAUGGUUUGUUAAUUUAACUUAUUGUACUUACAUAAAAAUGAAAGUUCAAUUUUCUAUAUAUAUAUAUAUAACAUGAACUUAAAAAUAUUCAACACAUUUAUAUAAGACUUACAAAGGAAGAAAUUCAAAACGCCAAUCAAAAUUUAGUUUUGUCAGUUAAAGUUUUAAUAGUUUUUUAAAUCAACUUCUUAUUAAGAUUUAUCCUCUGUAGAAAUAGCCUCAGCGGAACGCCUCACACCACUUCACAACGUCAGACAUAAAGGUAACCAAAAUAUAUAAUUCAGAUUUCAGAACAACAAAUAACUUUUUAUAAAUUUGGAGAAACCAAAACGAAUGAUGAACUAAUAAAUAUGAAUAAAAUGUUUUGUCAGUUAAAGUUUUAAUAGUUUUUGAAAUCAACUUCUUAUUAAGAUUUAUCUUAUGUAGAAGUAGCCUCAGCGGAACGUCUCGCACCGCUUGACAACGUCAGAAGCAGACAUGUACGAAGGUAACCAAAAUAUAUAAUUCAGAUUUCAGAACAACAAAUAACUUUUAGAAAUUUGGAGAAACCAAAACGAACGAUGAACUAAUAAAUAUGUUUUGUCAGUUAAAGUUUUAAUAGCUUUUGAAAUCAACUUCUUAUUAAGAUUUAUCCUCUGUAGAAAUAGCCUCAGCGGAACGCCUCACACCGUUUGGCAAGGUCAGAUGCAGACAUGUACAAAGGUAACCAAAAUCUAUAAUUCGGAUUUCAGAAUGACAAAUAACUUUUAGAAAUUUGGAGAAACCAAAAUAAAUGAUGAAAAAUUGUUAGAGGGCCUGGUUUAUUAUUUGAUGCGUCUUAGUGGGCUAAGACCAGCUCCAUUGGGGGGCUCUUCGCACAAGUUUUUAACAAAAAGGAAAAAAAAAAUGAAAAAGGCCCAAAAAGCAAAGAAAGAACCGCUGCUUAAAGUGGGCUUUCUAGAGCUUGUAAGAAACCUUUAUGUGGCAGUUUGUUAUUGGACCGUGCAUUAAUUCCUCUUUCUCUCCUUCGUCGAAGGUCUGGCGAAAUCUAUUCUUCUUCAGUCAUCGAUCUCUCCAUCUUCUCUCUAGUCCGUUGAUGAAUCUUCUGAAGAACAUCCAUACAAAAAACGCAGGGCUUCUCUCUUUCCUCCGUUAGACCCGCUCUCUCUCCAACUUUCUUCUUCGUCUCCCACAUCGCAGCGAUCGAUCCGCGGAGGAUGAGCCUCUGUCUACUUCUGUUGCAGCGAAGGAGGAGAUCGAUGACUGAAGACCAAUCGUUUUAGUCACGAACGGAGAUGGGAUUGAUUCGAUUGGGCUCGUUCUAUGACUCCUGGAGAAACCAUUGCUUUGUGUUCCGCCAGUAUCAAAGGUGCCACAGCCUUUGAAGUUUCAGGUAUGCUGAUUUUGAUUGAAUGAUAGUUUCACAACAUCUCUAAGAUAGAAAAGUUAACGUUUCAAUCUGAAAAUUUGAGUCUUUAUUGAAACAACGAUCCUCUGAUUCUCAAGUUGUUAGAAAAGUGUCUAUUGAGUUCAUAGGCUUUGAUACUAUUCUUUUGUCUCAGGGACUCCUGUGGACUGCAUUUCGUAAGGAUUAUCCGGAGCCCUUCUCGCUUGGUCAAAGCCAAUACUGGUAAUUAGUGGAAUCAAUCAGUGAUCAAGCUGUGGGCUGGAGCCAGGGAACACACUCUCUGUCAGAACCGUAUUCACCAUCAUCAAAGCAUCAUUUGGGAAGAGGUGAAGAAACAACUGAAGGCGAAGAAAUGGUUUCUUGGUUCAGUAGCUGGGCCUCCAAGCAUUGCCCUGAUGCAAAGCAUAUGAAUGUUGGCAGUGACACACAAUUAAGACAGCUGUUUUUCGGUGGCAUUACUAACAGGUGAAGCGAAUACAUGUGACAGAAGAAGCCAAGACAUGACAUUGGUAUGUUUCGCUCACUCAUAAGCUUGUGUAUUUUGCAAUGUUUUAAAAACCGGACCGGAUACCGACUCGGCGUACUCACUGGUUCACUGGUCUGACCGGUUCAACCGGUCGAGCCGGGUUUUUUAUUUAUUAUAUAUAUAUAUAUAAUCAUAUAUAUAAAUCAUCUAAUGAAUAAUAUCUAUAAAUAGUAUCAAAAAUAGAAAUAGAACAAUUGAAUCUUGAAUACAUAAUGAACUAAAUGAAUACAUGACAAAUUAAAUUUAAAAAAAUCUGUUGAAGAAUGAUAAAAUAUCUCAAACUUAUUCAGUGGUAUCAUUUCAUCUUAAUGCCUCCACCUCCGCUCUCUUUCCGACAAAAGUCACAAAUCAAAUUUCUCUUUCCAUUCUGCUCAGUGCGUUCUGUUACAUGUCUCCAAGCUAUGUCAUCUUUUUGAUGUACUGAACGUUGAACAAAAGAAUAAUACAUUAAUAUUGUUAUAUCAAAUCUUGCGGUUAAAGAGAAUCAGUGAAUCAAACGAUAUUUACUUUUUCUUACAAUUGUGCAGUCCCAAAAUCUUAUAACCAUGGAAAAUUCAGAUGAUGAGAGGAUGGUGUACGAGAGACAAAGAGAAGAUGUUUGGGGUUUUUUUUGGAGAAAUUAUUAAAAAAAGAACGGCUAUUAAGUAUUAUCAAGGAUUAGCCUAAUAUAAAACCCUAAUUAAAAUUUAAAAUGUACUAGAACCGGAUUUUAGUGUCGACCCGGGUUACUGGUUUUGCCGGUUCUGAACCGAUUUUUCUGGUUUUUAUCUAAUCCGGGUUUUGAACCGAACCGGACUCGGCUUACUUAACGAGUCACGGUCGAACCGGUCCGACCGGCCGGUCCGGUCCGGUUUUCAAAACCUUGGUAUUUUGUAUUUUGUCUAGUCGUAUUGUGUGCUCAUUCUACUUUAAAAAAAAAAAAAUUUAAGAACUCAACGAGGUUCUACCAUUGGAUUAGAAAAAAUUAAAUUAGAUUAAUAAAAGUUCUAAACCUUUCAAAUCACUAUAUUUAUUACUAAUUUAUUGGUUAGAACCCAUAAGGGGGUUCUUAUUGAUGGACAUGUUCUAAGACUUUAUCAUAGCAGCACUCUCCACGCCGUCUAUACGCCCACCAACCAGGCCUUGAGCAACACGUCCCUCCUCUAGGGAUGUCAAGUUGGGCGGCCCACACCCAAAUGGGUGUGUACAGUUGGGCCAUUUAACACCCAUACCCAAAAACACUCACACCCAUUUAAUUCCCAUACCCAAAAACACCCACACCCAAGUUAGCCCAUACCCAUUGGAAAUAACCCAAGACCACCCAUUAUUAUUCUUUUUAAAAAUUAGCUCAAUUUUGUUCAUAAUCAAUUAUUGUAAACUCAAUUUACAAACUUAUAUACUUAUAGAAAUUAAAAAUUA
This is a long non-coding RNA of Brassica napus (rape), 3920 nucleotides long. RefSeq lists it as uncharacterized. The record is from RefSeq and is a predicted model, not a curated record. NCBI's taxonomy places the organism in Eukaryota, Viridiplantae, Streptophyta, Magnoliopsida, Brassicales, Brassicaceae. The transcript is spliced from 4 exons.